UACGUAGGUGGCAAGCGUUGUCCGGAAUUACUGGGCGUAAAGGAUGCGUAGGCGGACAUUUAAGUCAGAUGUGAAAUACCCGGGCUCAACUUGGGUGCUGCAUUUGAAACUGGAUGUCUGGAGUGCAGGAGAGGAAAGUGGAAUUCCUAGUGUAGCGGUGAAAUGCGUAGAGAUUAGGAAGAACACCAGUGGCGAAGGCGACUUUCUGGACUGUAACUGACGCUGAGUCACGAAAGCGUGGGUAGCAAAC
This 250-nucleotide ribosomal RNA is filed under the name uncultured bacterium. Its description in RNAcentral is "partial 16S ribosomal RNA". It matches the Rfam family "Bacterial small subunit ribosomal RNA", at positions 524 to 773 of the family's 1533-position model. The record is from RNAcentral.